This is a long non-coding RNA of Salvelinus fontinalis (brook trout), 2325 nucleotides long. RefSeq lists it as uncharacterized. The record is from RefSeq and is a predicted model, not a curated record. Lineage: Eukaryota; Metazoa; Chordata; Actinopteri; Salmoniformes; Salmonidae. The transcript has 2 exons.
CUUUCAUCUGUUGCUCCACCAUAUUUUUUUUGCAUAUGAAUUUAAUUUAUUGUAAACGACUAUAUAUUCUAGACAGGUUCAAUCACAUACUGCUGAAAAAAAGACCCCCAAAUAGUCCACUCCCAGAGACGCUGCAAUUCUACAAAAUUAGAGUAUAUUAGUGUCAAAGCCUUCUGUACUACAGGUAGAUAACAUAAAUCUAUAUUUCAACCUUUAUUUAACAAGGCAAGUCGGUUAAGAAUAAAUUCUUAUUUUCAAUGAAGGCCAAACUUUCAAACGACGCUGGGCCAAUUGUGCGCUGCCUUAUGGGACUCCCAAUCACGGCCGGAUGUGAUACAGCCUCGAUUCGAACCUGGGACUGUAGUAACGCAUCUUGCCUGAGAUGCAGUGCCCUAGACCGCUGCGCCACUCGGGAGCCCAGAAAUAAACUAUAUAUCCUUCAAAUCAAAUUUUAUUGGUCACAUACACGUGAUUAGCAGAUGUUAUUACGGGUGUAGCGAAAUGCUUGUUAUUUUAGCUCCGGCAGUGCAGUAAUACACAAAAAUCUAGGUAGGAAUGAAUUAAGACUAUAUACAUAAAACUAUGUACAUAUGAACUAUAUACAUAAUUGUAACUAGUUAUUUAUUAUUCAUCAAGGUCCAUAAUAACUUUUGCACAGAUGAACUCAUAUUAUGUUGGUCUGUGCUUUGGCUCCCUCUAGUGGAGUGUUUCUAAAUUAUUAACCCGGAAAUGAUUCUGUCAAACGUGUGAAAGAAGCUAGUUCGUUGGCAAACUAAAAACGAACAGCAAGAUUUGGAGGGAAAAUAAGCGACAGGGUAACGUUAAUAGAAGGCUCUCUGUACCACCAUGGGUACAUCCAAACAGAUCGGGAACCACAACGGUACCAGGAAGAAGAGUAUUAGCAAGACAUGGAAGACAAAGCGAUAUAUGACCAAAUCCAUGCAGACAUGAAGACCUUCAACAAAAACCAAGUUGCUCAAAAAAAGAAGAUGGACUAUGUCACUGGUUGUGGCCAGCAUUACUGUCUACAGUCGUGGCCAAAGGUUUUGAGAAUGACACAAAUAUACAUUUCCACAAAAUUUGCUGCUUCAAUGUCUUUAGAUAUGUUUGUCAGAUGUUACUAUGGAAUACUGAAGUAUAAUUACAAGCAUUUCAUAAGUGUCAAAGGCUUUUAUUGAGUGAGCUCCAGCCUUGUACUCGUCAACACUCAUACCUGUGUUAAUGAGAGAAUCACUGACAUGAUGUCAGCUGGUCCUUUUGUGGCAGGGCUGAAAUGCAGUGUGUAAAUGUUUUGGGGGGAUUCAGUUCAUUUGCAUGGCAAAGAGGGACUUUGCAAUUCAUUUGAUCACUCUUCAUAACAUUCUAGAGUAUAUGCAAAUUGCCAUCAUACAAACUGAGGCAGCAGACUUUGUGAAAAUGAAUAUUUGUGUCAUUUUCAACUUUUGGCCACGACUGUACGUUGCGCUUUCUUGCAGCUAUUCAAAUUGUUAACUGGAAACAUUUCGGCUACUGGAAACUAAAAGCCGUAGUUGAAUGUGCAUUUGUUUUGAUUGCAGAUUAUAUUUUGUUGAUCUGAAAGAGCACUUUAAAACCAACGUGCACAAGAAAAAUAGUAAGAUCCCCACUAUUUUUGUUUGAAGCAGUCCAUUGUUCCUGUGACGAGCCUUCCUCCACAGCACCCGAGUAUUACAACUUAGAUGUUUAUUUUGAUGACUGAGUAUCUGCAUUUCUUCCGUCUCUCCCCCACUCUGUUCAGGAUUAAGCUGUUGAAGGAGGAACCUUGCACUCAGGCAGAAGCAGAGAGAGCUGCAGGUAUGGGAUCUUACAUACCCCACAAAACUGUAGCGGUGGAAGAGAAGAUGGACUGAAUGUGGACUGCCUUUCUUUGACCAUUACUUUCACCCAGGUUCCAGAACACCUUUUUCGUGGCUCUGCGCUACGGACAUUGCUUUGCAUUACAUAUGUAUAGAUGUUUUUAUACAAUCAAUGUAAAUGUCACAUGUGGAGCAAACAAUUAAAAGGAAAUGUGGUGAUUGGCUGGAUGCCAGUUUCUAUUUUAGCCAGAUUUAUAAUUUUGUCAUGCUUGCAGCAGGCUGGCAACUCUGUCUAAUGACAAAUUAUGAAAUAUUGUUAGAAUCGGAUUUCAAUGCCUGUGCAACCCAACAACAUUGAAUAUAGCGCUGAAUUUACAAUUAAAUAUAUAGGAUAGAGCUACUCAUAUUACUUGAGAUUGUAACUUGAGCUGAAAUGCAAUUGUAAAGCACAGUUUGUGCUCCUACAAUUCACUGUUGAUCUUAAAUGCAAUUAAAGUACCAGUCAGCAUCG